UACAGAGGGUGCGAGCGUUAAUCGGAAUUACUGGGCGUAAAGCGUGCGCAGGCGGUUUGUUAAGACAGAUGUGAAAUCCCCGGGCUUAACCUGGGAACUGCAUUUGUGACUGGCAAGCUAGAGUAUGGCAGAGGGGGGUAGAAUUCCACGUGUAGCAGUGAAAUGCGUAGAGAUGUGGAGGAAUACCGAUGGCGAAGGCAGCCCCCUGGGCCAAUACUGACGCUCAUGCACGAAAGCGUGGGGAGCAAACAGG
RNAcentral lists this ribosomal RNA (253 nucleotides) under uncultured bacterium. Its description in RNAcentral is "partial 16S ribosomal RNA". It matches the Rfam family "Bacterial small subunit ribosomal RNA", at positions 524 to 776 of the family's 1533-position model. The record is from RNAcentral.